UACAGAGGGUGUGAGCGUUAAUCGGAAUUACUGGGCGUAAAGCGCGCGUAGGCGGCUUUGCAAGUCGGGUGUGAAAUCCCCAGGCUUAACCUGGGAACUGCAUUCGAGACUGCAUUGCUAGAGUAUGGGAGAGGGAAGUGGAAUUUCCGGUGUAGCGGUGAAAUGCGUAGAUAUCGGAAGGAACAUCAGUGGCGAAAGCGACUUCCUGGACCAAUACUGACGCUCAUGUGCGAAAGCGUGGGGAGCAAACAGG
RNAcentral lists this ribosomal RNA (253 nucleotides) under uncultured bacterium. RNAcentral's name for it is "partial 16S ribosomal RNA". It matches the Rfam family "Bacterial small subunit ribosomal RNA", at positions 524 to 776 of the family's 1533-position model. The record is from RNAcentral.